This 372-nucleotide long non-coding RNA is filed under the name Ursus americanus (American black bear). RNAcentral's name for it is "lncRNA (ENSUAMG00000002086.1)". Lineage: Eukaryota; Metazoa; Chordata; Mammalia; Carnivora; Ursidae. The record is from RNAcentral.
UGGUUCAAAUCUCUGGAGGUUGGUGUGAAGGAGAUACUAGGAAUAUUGGGGUAGGUGUGGAUUGGCUGUGAAGGGAAGGAGAAGACCUGAGAGGAGGGACACGGAGACAGGAAACAGACAAAUGGAACUCUAAAGGACAGCCUCCAGGCUGCUUUAGGGUUUGACAACACUGGAAUCAAGGAAAGGAGGGGGAAAUCGCACCACAUCCAUAUAGGUUGGUAUGAGGGUGGUACAACUUUGGGUGGGGAAAUGGAAAUCAACACUGGCCCAAGAGUGAUUAGGGUACUCUGGGGGCUCUUAAACCUCUCCCAUUGCCAACACUUACCAGUUUCAUACCUGUUUUGUAUCAUGCAAAGUAACGUGGCAAACUCU